Long non-coding RNA from Brassica napus (rape), 3776 nucleotides. RefSeq lists it as uncharacterized. Lineage: Eukaryota; Viridiplantae; Streptophyta; Magnoliopsida; Brassicales; Brassicaceae. The transcript has 2 exons. The record is from RefSeq and is a predicted model, not a curated record.
UUAGUCUCCAAAAUCACAUUGUACACGACAUGGGAUACAUGGGAUGUACACGUGUACACGACAUGGGAUGCACAAAAUCAAUUUGUACAAGACAUAGAUGUACACAAUCACAUUGUACAGAAUGUACACGACAUGGGAUGUACACAAUCACAUUGUACAGCAAACAACAAUCUUUCUACAUGGAAGCAUGCUCCCAUAUUGGAACAAAUUGAUGGGACGAGAUUUGCGGAAAAUAUUUCACAAGCACUGAUGGUUAUGCAUUGAAAGCUAGAUCUUGGAAGGCUUUUAUUCUUUUUAACACUUCUAAAUAUGUUUGCAUGUUUAACAUAUAUACUUUCAAAAGAAAUUUACAUGUACACAUGUUUUCACUAUCGAUAAGGGCUAAUGUGUACAAUAUACAUAUCAUAUUUUAUCAGAUAUUUACAUAUGUUUGAGAUAGAUGUUAGAUGUCCAAGAUGUUGUAAAGUUAUGUACAUUCGUUAGUGUACAUGUGUACAUGUAUACAUUAAAUGUUGGUAACAUAUAUGUGUACAAUACAUAUGGUAGUGUACAUGUGUACAUCACUGGAAAAUUAAAUUAAUUCCAUUCAAAGAUGAAAUGGUAAUAGAAUAUGACUUCAUAUCAUUAUACAAAGCUUAAUGAAGUUGAUUCUCAAAUGGUAGUAGAAUAUGACUUUCAUAUCAUUAUACAAAGCUUAAUGAAGUUGAUUCUCAAAUGGAAGUAGAAUAUGUCUUUCAUAUCUCUUUAACAUGUACAUGCGUACACUAACAUUUGUGUAUACAUCAUCGUGCUCACCCAAUGUACUCGUGUACACGAAGAAAUGUACAUACACGAAACACAAAAUAUAUGUUUGGUUUGGAUCAAAGCCGUAUGCAACCUGUAUGUAUUGAACUUCUUUCUUUCUCUCUCCUCCCAUUUCAUCCUCUCCAACAUUCCCGAGAUUCCCAGAUUUCAGAUUAUGUCUCUCGCUUGGGAAUCGGUCUGUCGCAAAAAGCCUCCCAGCCAGAAGUUCUUUAAAAUCAUCAAGGCCAUGCGCCUCUUCGCCGCUCCGCACCCCCCCCCUCGAUAUCCUCCACCGCUUCGUCACCUUCGGUUAUCACCUUAAUCACCUACGUUCGCUUUCAGCCGCAGACUCCGUCUCCUCGACAUCGUCGCCGGAAUCUUCAUCGUACGCUGUUAAACUCUCACCGGCCGGAAAUCGCCUCCUAUUCCUCUCAAACAGAGUUUCGAGAUUUACUCUCGGUAACUGAUGUUUGUCAAAAGGUAAAGGUGAAAGUAAUUAAUAACACGACUCCACCACUCCCGUUUCGAAAUUCAAAAACCGAACCAAAAAAUAUAAUAAAAUAAUUAACCUAACUAAAUGAAACGACCAGUUACGCUUUUUGGAGUCUUUCCAUUGAAAAAACUAACUCUGUAGCGGGAACUGCUCUAUUAUGUAAAAGAAAACUUGAAACUGCCCCUGUGUGUAAUAAACUCAAAAAAUAAUAUAUUCUUCCUCAAUUGUGAAAAGAUCUCAUUCUUCAAUCGAUGAUCAACUUUUCGUAUGGACUAAUUCAGGUUAUGGCGAAACCCCACAACAUUAUAUAUGAUCAUUAGAUUGGGAGAGAUACUAGAAAAAUCCUAAGAUAUUUAAUCAUUUGGAUCAAACUGUUAAUGACCACAAACAGAGAAGGGCCUCCAGUGCUGCUGUAAACCACAUUCAUAUACAAUUUUUACCAUAAGAAGAGUGGUUCCAACUUCAAAGGCAGAGAAUAAGAGUAGAAAUUUAACCUGAUCCAAGGUGGCAGAAAAUUCGUUAAUCCUCCUCCCAAGUUGUGUCUAUGUAACGUGCUGUCAAAGUAUUUUCCAAAAUAACAAAAUGUGUUAAACUACAUGGACGAAAAAGAACAACACAUAAGUAGAUCUUGCUCCUCUGGCUAUUCACAGUUAUGUUUUUGUAUGAUAACAUAGAACAAUAACACAAAUUCAUAUCCAGUUCCUCCAAAAUGAAAGACCAAUUUUGAAGAUGACAUGGCACAAAGAUAAUUUAUGACAGGCUGAUUUUUGUAGCUGACGUGGAUAGGCUAAAUGAAGUUCAUAUCCCCCUUUUAAUAUUAGUAGGUACUCAGUUUGGGUUUUCAAAUUCAGAUAGGACAUUAGAAGAGGGCAAUAAAUGUCUAAACCAGCAACAAGGUUUCAAGUUCUGAACUAUCAUUUGCAAAAUUCUUCAAACUUGUACCAACAAUAAAUCUAGAGACAUAGGAUCAUCUCAAACAACCCAUCAAGCAGUAAUCUCUUUGUUGAGCUUUGCAAGCUCCUGUCUUACCACAACGGCCCUCUGCAAGUUACAACACAUGAAAUCCAUUCAACAAAGUGACUAGGACAAGUAAAUGAUUAUGAACUUAACAUUAGCAUUAGAAGCAUAACAAUGAUUUUGAGCUUUCACAUUUUCUUUAGAUAGAACAAGCCAUUUGAAAACAUCUAUGUAUCUUAUGAGUACAAAGAAGGCAGAUAAGGGAUCAUUAAGCAUCAAGGAGAGUGUAAUUGUAGUAAAACAGAGAGAGAUGGAAACUGGCCUUGAUUUUUACCUCUGUAAUGCAACAGAUUUAGGUGAUUUGAUCAUUGUGUUCUAUAUUUGUGAUAAAAUGUUUAUUAGAUUAUCUUAUGAUAUUUCUCUGAUAAAAAUGCAAUCCAAAAUCAUCCAUCAAAUAUUAUUUACCAUAAAUUAAUGUCUGAUCUCUACAUAAAAUCCAAAGUUUAUUAAAAAAUAUUAUUAUUCUUUCUAAAACAUAAUUUAAAAAAAUUCAAAAUUUAAAAUUAAUUAAAUUAUGUUCUUGUGCACCAAUCUGUGUGAUACUGAAUUAGAAAUUUGAAAUAGAUAAAUGGUAAAAAAGUUAUACAUGUACUAGUUGUUGCUUUUAUACUUGAUUAAACUAAAUAAAAAAUAAAUACUAUAUCCAAUAAAAUUUACUCAAAUUCCCUGAAAUUUCAUCUAUGAUAGAUCCAUAGAAAGAAUUCAUAUAUAUAGAUAUAUAUAUAAGGCUUUUGAAUUGUUUCUUAAUCAAUAGCAUUUCCUCAUAUAAAUCAAGUUUUUUAUUUUUUACUUUUACCCAAAAAAUAUAGACUGUGAAUUAGAUAUCUAUUUUCGGAAAAAUAUUAGCGAGUCUAAUGCAUUAGUUUACCAAUUACGUAAAACAAAAUCUGGAAUUAUGCAAAACCACAUCAUUUCAUCUAAAUUAAAGGAGGCAAGUAGCUUAAAUUAGAUAUAUUGUAACGUAGGAUACAUUUGAAUUCUUAUAUAUACAUAUACUUUCUUGUUUGUUUCUUGUUCUUUACACACAACAAAUUUUAUGAUAAAAAGCAUAAUCAAUUCAUUUAUAUUACACAAGGAUGAAAAAAUCACUUAUAUUUUCAUUUAAUGUUUUACCUCUCCUCAUCAUUCUUGUACUAGUGGUCAGAGCGAUGGGGCAAGGGAAUAAAAAUAAAAAAGAUACAUGUCCCAUAUAUCUAGAUAACCAAAAGCCUGAAAGUUGUCAAGACAAGCCAGCUUGCCUAUCUGCGUGCAAGAAGAAGACAGAAGGGUCAGGGAUGCAGGAAAUAACCACUGGUUGCAUCUCAGGAAACAAAUGUGCAUGCUAUGUCCCAUGUCCAAAAUGAUCUUAAUGUUUAUUUUAUUGAAAACAAAAUUCAUAUAUAUUUAUAAUAAAUUAAGAUGUGAUUUAUAGUAAUAAUUAAAUAAGUUGUCAAAUUAUGUUAUUGUCAAAUUAUGAUAAGAAUAAAAUAUGAUCUUUUGCAGA